Molecule: unclassified non-coding RNA, 395 nt
Filed under: soil metagenome
Description: partial contains 5.8S ribosomal RNA, internal transcribed spacer 2, and large subunit ribosomal RNA
Rfam family: 5.8S ribosomal RNA (bases 1-119)
Source: RNAcentral
GAUGAAGAAGCAGCGAAAUGCGAUAAGUAGUGUGAAUUGCAGAAUUCAGUGAAUCAUCGAAUCUUUGAACGCACAUUGCGCCUCCUGGCAUUCCGGGAGGCAUGCCUGUUCGAGCGUCAUCAAACCCCAUCGUGCAAAUGAAUUAUUUUUUUUGCGCGGAAGUGACGAUUGAGCGAGAAUAACAAAUCCUCUCGCACCUCGUCGAAAUGAUUGCGGGCGGAAUUUGGGAUCGGGUUCCUCGGCGUAGUGUAUCAAUGCAUAUUUAUGCAACUUGCCGCGGAGUUGAGCCUGACCCACGCGUUCUCGCCGUACAAACACCUCAUUACUUUACAAGUUUUUGACCUCGGAUCAGGUAGGGAUACCCGCUGAACUUAAGCAUAUCAAUAAGCGGAGGA